AUGAGGAGACCAACCCAAGCGCAUCUCGCCGGCACUGCCGCGCUCUUCCUGCUACUGGCAGCCACCAUGCCGGCGACGGCAGUUGCCGUGGUGUCUUCCGAGGCCGAUGCCCUUCUAGCAUGGAAGGCCAGCCUCGUCAACGCGACCGCGCUAUCUAACUGGACCCAGGCCACGCCGGUCUGUGACUGGGAUCGGGUGCACUGCAACAAUGAAAGCGCCGUGGUGGAACUAAGACUAAAUGUACUCGGUCUAUCAGGCGGGCUCGAUACGCUCGACACAGUGGCGUUCCCGGCGCUCGCCUAUCUGGACCUUAGCAUCAACCACCUUGGCGGUGCCAUCCCGGCCAGCAUCUCGCGGCUGCGCUCCCUCAAAUCACUCGACCUCAGCUAUAAUGGCUUUAAUGGCUCCAUCCCGCCGCAAUUUGGUGACAUGCCAAGCCUCGGCGACCUCAUUCUCAACAGCAACAGGCUCGUCGGCAAUAUCCCGCGGCAGCUCUGCAGGCUCAUCUCCACACGGAUACUGCGAAUCUCUGAAAACCAGCUCAGCGGAGAGCUUCCCAACUGCUG
Molecule: ribosomal RNA, 566 nt
Filed under: Triticum aestivum (bread wheat)
Lineage: Eukaryota; Viridiplantae; Streptophyta; Magnoliopsida; Poales; Poaceae
Description: partial small subunit ribosomal RNA
Source: RNAcentral